AUUUCGUCUGUUCUAAUACCAAGGGUCAUGACGUUGACCCUUUGGCUUCGCUUUCAGACAAAAUUAAUUCUUUAAAUUUAUCCUGGUGUUGUUUUCCUGUUUGUGAAUAUUACACCGGCCUUUUAAAGAUACAAAU
Molecule: small nucleolar RNA, 136 nt
Filed under: Galleria mellonella (greater wax moth)
Lineage: Eukaryota; Metazoa; Arthropoda; Insecta; Lepidoptera; Pyralidae
Description: Small nucleolar RNA psi28S-1192
Rfam family: Small nucleolar RNA psi28S-1192
About the family: psi28S-1192 is a member of the H/ACA class of snoRNA. This family is responsible for guiding the modification of uridine 1192 to pseudouridine in Drosophila 28S rRNA.
Source: Rfam by way of RNAcentral